UCCUAAAAUUAAACUAAACCUAAACCUAAAACUAAAAAAAUAGAAAAAGGAAAAAACUAAAUCUAAACCUAAAACUAAACUAAAUCUAAACCUAAAACUAAACUAAAACUAAACCUAUAAACCUAAAACUAAUCCUAAAACUAAAACUAAAUCUAAACUAAACAUAAACCUAAAACUAAAAAAACAGAAAAAAGGAAAAAAAGGAAGCAGAGACUCACCUGGGUGG
Molecule: long non-coding RNA, 226 nt
Filed under: Triticum aestivum (bread wheat)
Lineage: Eukaryota; Viridiplantae; Streptophyta; Magnoliopsida; Poales; Poaceae
Description: long non-coding RNA (TAES_LNC012066)
Source: RNAcentral